RNAcentral lists this ribosomal RNA (1367 nucleotides) under uncultured bacterium. RNAcentral's name for it is "16S ribosomal RNA". It matches the Rfam family "Bacterial small subunit ribosomal RNA". The record is from RNAcentral.
GAGUUUGAUCCUGGCUCAGGACGAACGCUGGCGGCGCGCCUAACACAUGCAAGUCGAACGAGAGAGAGGGAGCUUGCUUCCUCAAUCGAGUGGCGAACGGGUGAGUAACGCGUGAGGAACCUGCCUCAAAGAGGGGGACAACAGUUGGAAACGACUGCUAAUACCGCAUAAGCCCACAGCUCGGCAUCGAGCAGAGGGAAAAGGAGCAAUCCGCUUUGAGAUGGCCUCGCGUCCGAUUAGCUGGUUGGUGAGGUAACGGCCCACCAAGGCGACGAUCGGUAGCCGGACUGAGAGGUUGAACGGCCACAUUGGGACUGAGACACGGCCCAGACUCCUACGGGAGGCAGCAGUGGGGAAUAUUGCACAAUGGGGGAAACCCUGAUGCAGCGACGCCGCGUGGAGGAAGAAGGUCUUCGGAUUGUAAACUCCUGUUGUUGAGGAAGAUAAUGACGGUACUCAACAAGGAAGUGACGGCUAACUACGUGCCAGCAGCCGCGGUAAAACGUAGGUCACAAGCGUUGUCCGGAAUUACUGGGUGUAAAGGGAGCGCAGGCGGGAAGACAAGUUGGAAGUGAAAUCUAUGGGCUCAACCCAUAAACUGCUUUCAAAACUGUUUUUCUUGAGUAGUGCAGAGGUAGGCGGAAUUCCCGGUGUAGCGGUGGAAUGCGUAGAUAUCGGGAGGAACACCAGUGGCGAAGGCGGCCUACUGGGCACCAACUGACGCUGAGGCUCGAAAGUGUGGGUAGCAACAGGAUUAGAUACCCUGGUAGUCCACACCGUAAACGAUGAUUACUAGGUGUUGGAGGAUUGACCCCUUCAGUGCCGCAGUUAACACAAUAAGUAAUCCACCUGGGGAGUACGACCGCAAGGUUGAAACUCAAAGGAAUUGACGGGGGCCCGCACAAGCAGUGGAGUAUGUGGUUUAAUUCGACGCAACGCGAAGAACCUUACCAAGUCUUGACAUCCUGCGACGGACAUAGAAAUAUGUCUUUCCUUCGGGACGCAGAGACAGGUGGUGCAUGGUUGUCGUCAGCUCGUGUCGUGAGAUGUUGGGUUAAGUCCCGCAACGAGCGCAACCCUUACUGUCAGUUACUACGCAAGAGGACUCUGGCAGGACUGCCGUUGACAAAACGGAGGAAGGUGGGGAUGACGUCAAAUCAUCAUGCCCUUUAUGACUUGGGCUACACACGUACUACAAUGGCGUUAAACAAAGAGAAGCAAGACCGCGAGGUGGAGCAAAACUCAGAAACAACGUCCCAGUUCGGAAAGCAGGCUGCAGCUCGCCUGCACGAAGUCGGAAUUGCUAGUAAUCGUGGAUCAGCAUGCCACGGUGAAUACAUUCCCGGGGCUUGACACACCGCCCGUCA